GACGAACGCUGGCGGCGUGCUUAACACAUGCAAGUCGAACGGAAAGGCCCUGCUUUUGUGGGGUGCUCGAGUGGCGAACGGGUGAGUAACACGUGAGUAACCUGCCCUUGACUUUGGGAUAACUUCAGGAAACUGGGGCUACUACCGGAUAGGAGCUCCUGCUGCAUGGUGGGGGGUGGAAAGUUUCGGCGGUUGGGGAUGGACUCGCGGCUUAUCAGCUUGUUGGUGGGGUAGUGGCUUACCAAGGCUUUGACGGGUAGCCGGCCUGAGAGGGUGACCGGCCACAUUGGGACUGAGAUACGGCCCAGACUCCUACGGGAGGCAGCAGUGGGGAAUAUUGCACAAUGGGCGGAAGCCUGAUGCAGCAACGCCGCGUGCGGGAUGACGGCCUUCGGGUUGUAAACCGCUUUCGCCUGUGACGAAGCGUGAGUGACGGUAAUGGGUAAAGAAGCACCGGCUAACUACGUG
RNAcentral lists this ribosomal RNA (468 nucleotides) under uncultured bacterium. RNAcentral's name for it is "partial 16S ribosomal RNA". It matches the Rfam family "Bacterial small subunit ribosomal RNA", at positions 28 to 507 of the family's 1533-position model. The record is from RNAcentral.